This 97-nucleotide microRNA precursor is filed under the name Nicotiana sylvestris (wood tobacco). Its description in RNAcentral is "MIR6152 microRNA precursor family". It matches the Rfam family "MIR6152 microRNA precursor family". The record is from Rfam by way of RNAcentral. RNAcentral also lists the same sequence under 1 other name. Lineage: Eukaryota; Viridiplantae; Streptophyta; Magnoliopsida; Solanales; Solanaceae.
UGGACAGAUUAUUGUAUUCGACUGUAUUCACGGCGUAUAAUAGGGGAUUACACUAUUUUUAAAACGGAAAGUGAAUCAAUUAACAUAAUAGACUCCU